RNAcentral lists this ribosomal RNA (125 nucleotides) under uncultured eukaryote. RNAcentral's name for it is "partial 18S ribosomal RNA". It matches the Rfam family "Eukaryotic small subunit ribosomal RNA", at positions 1679 to 1801 of the family's 1831-position model. The record is from RNAcentral.
CUACUACCGAUUGAAUGGCUUAGUGAGGUCUCCGGAUUGGCUUUGGGGAGCCGGCAACGGCACUCUAUUGCUGAGAGGCUGAUCAAACUUGGUCAUUUAGAGGAAGUAAAAGUCGUAACAAGGUU